AUUUGAAAAGAGAAGUAUGACUUUUAGGCCAUGAAGGUUUCCUUUCAAAUACCUGGUAUGAUGAAAGGACGAUUAAAAAAAAAACAAAAAACUUCAACAGCGGUUAAUACAUGGAACUGAAAGACAGGGAGGUCUACAAGAUGACCCCCAAGUUACCUUCAACUCUAGCAUAUGAAAUCUGCUCACUCACAUACCCAUUAAACACUCUGCCUCUGGCCACGACAUCAACUGACCACGAGAUGGCGAUACAGCUUAACUCAGCACCUGGAUCUGUAACCCCAGCAUCUAGGGAAAGCCGUGCUCAAGAGAAAAUGUUUUAGGGUGCCAACCAUCCCUAAGAGCAAGCAAGAGGGAUGUCAACUAGAGGCCACUGCUAGCGAACAGACCAAGAAAGCUCAUUUGCAUGACUGAAAACAAAGUAUAGUAUCCACACCAGCACAACUUUACCAGGUAGAAAAAUUAGAGGCUAUGGAUCCUCAUCAGACUCUAAACUUCAUUACUGUCAACACUAGAUUUGUUCUCUGUUGAAUACCUGUAAAUAUUUAGAGUGAACAAAUGCACUAAGCAUCAGCUAGGAGUACCUCAAUAUGAUGGGGUCUAGGGAAGAGGGCACUCUUCUGCAAGAGUUCACCAUCAGACUCAUAUAUGUAACAUAUGUUUAAUGGACACAUAUUAUGUGACAAGCUCAUGUAUCAGGUCUCAGAUAAAUAGCAUUAAUAGUGGCUACUAUUAUUCGUUAUUCAUUGAUUGCUAAUGACUACAGACUAUGCAUAGCACUCUACAUUUUAACUCAUUAGAGGUUUAUGGAAACAUUGCAUAUUAAGAUUAGUAGCCCUGUUUUACAGAUAAUGAAAGAUAGGCUCAAAGAAGUUAAGGCAAUUUGCUAAGAUUACUACGAUAGUUACUGAGUUCUGGUUUUACAAUACGGAAAAGCAAGAACACUGAGGAUAGAGGAAAGGUAUACACCAGCAAAUAUAACACAUAUUGUUCCUGACAACAACUAGGAGUGCAGUCAAGGACACGUCCAGAGCACAAUGCUUCUUCCUUGUCUUGGUCCUUGAAAUUCACUUCCACUGGUUCAGAAAAAGAAAAAGAUUUCUGACUUGUUUUACAAUAGCCAUUGUCUCCCAAUUCCCUCAUGGCAGUAUGGUCUUCAUCUAGACCAUUUGGUGAUUCUUAGUCAGAACAUUUUAUUACUUCAUCUGCAACCAAUGCUGCUACUUAGCUUGUACUCUGGGAAAUAUUGCACAGCAAGACUCCUCCAAUCCAUGCAGAAGCUAGAAAGAAGUCAAAGAGACACAUUCUCAGAAUGAUAUAACAAGAAUCCCUCAUCAAGGAUUUGUACCUCUGUUAAAACAUAGUCAAGACCUGGAAUCAACCUAAAUGCUUAUCAAUGAUAGAUUGGAUGAAGAAAAUAUGGUACAUCUAUACCAUGGAAUACUAUGCAGCUGUAAAAAAUGAGAUCAUAUCUUUUGUAGGGACAUUAAUGGAACUGGAGGCCAUUAUCUUUGGAAAACUAACACAAGAACAGAAAACCAAAUAUUGCAUGUUUUCACUUAUAAGUAGUAGCUAAGUUAUGAGAACACAUGGACACAUAGCUAGAAACGGCACACACUGAGGCCUCUC
RNAcentral lists this long non-coding RNA (1626 nucleotides) under Callithrix jacchus (white-tufted-ear marmoset). RNAcentral's name for it is "lncRNA (ENSCJAG00000051918.2)". The record is from RNAcentral. Lineage: Eukaryota; Metazoa; Chordata; Mammalia; Primates; Cebidae.